RNAcentral lists this transfer-messenger RNA (240 nucleotides) under Escherichia coli. It matches the Rfam family "transfer-messenger RNA". Rfam says of the family: Bacterial tmRNA, also known as 10Sa RNA or SsrA, is named for its dual tRNA and mRNA-like properties. The record is from RNAcentral. Lineage: Bacteria; Pseudomonadati; Pseudomonadota; Gammaproteobacteria; Enterobacterales; Enterobacteriaceae.
GGGGCUGAUUCUGGAUUCGACGGGAUUUGCGAAACCCAAGGUGCAUGCCGAGGAGAGGUCAAACCCAAAAGAGAUCGCGUGGAAGCCCUGCCUGGGGUUGAAGCGUUAAAACUUAAUCAGGCUAGUUUGUUAGUGGCGUGUCCGUCCGCAGUUGGCAAGCGAAUGUAAAGACUGACUAAGCAUGUAGUACCGAGGAUGUAGGAAUUUCGGACGCGGGUUCAACUCCCGCCAGCUCCACCA